CUAAAGGUGAAUGAGGCAUAAUAGGGUGGCAUUUCUUUGCUCUAGGUGCUGCCAGGAUUUCAUCAAGUCAGGGAAAAAGUUCACCCCCACACUCUCCCACAAACAUCAGUAACAGCAACCAGUUAGCAUAAUAGCUGCUCUUGAAAGCCAGAAGUACACAAGGAGAGGGAAGAAAUAUGUCAGCACUUCAGUGACUAAGCCACAAAGUGCUGCCAGAGGCAAAAGUCACAGCUGAAGUACCUGGUGAAUUUAGUGACACGGGACGAUUCCUAGCAACUGGGACGCCACAAAAAUGAGAUGGGAGAAUGCUUUCUGGAUGGUUGCCUGUUUACUGUUUGCAUCUCUACCCAGAGAUCAUCUUCAAGAUGUUGCAGAGGAAGGGAGAAGGGGACUCCAGCACAUUAUUUACACAACAGGAGCCAUGAUCUGACAGGUCAGUUGGACACAACGUGCCAUGCAUUUGUUGGAGAAACUGUCAUUUUGCCUUGUACCAUCACCUCUCCUGGAGAGCUGGAUGUUUCCGAUUCAAAGCUCUACUGGCAGAUAGAGUCUAUUUUAGUGCAUUUUUUUCACAAUGGGGAAGAUUCACUGAGGUACCAGGAUGAAAAUUAUCGUGGCAGAACCAGUCUUUUUUUGGAUGAGGUGAAGCAUGGCAACUUUUCCCUACAGCUUUCCAACAUCCGAUUAGAGGAUGCAGCUGUAUAUACUUGCAUCUAUAAACAGGCUAGGGCUCUCUCCAACAAAACACAGAAAUCUAAAAUUAAACUCGAUGUAUCAGAUAACAGUCAGGCUUCCCCAAGAAAUCCUGGUGAUGCACAGGGACUAGAUAUACUUGCUCUCUCUUUUCAUCUCCUGGUAACGCUGGUGGUUUGGCAUUUGUGACUGGGAAAGCUAAACUUCGGUUUGGGAAGUUCUCCUCAUCAGAGGACCUUGCUGUACAAAAUAGCUCUGUAAGGUUAGGACUGCUUCAGAGACACGUCAGAGGCACCGAUAUUUGGAAACACACCGAGCACUAGGUUUAUGUCCUGUAUUUUGGUGCGCAAAAGAAACCAAAGGCAGUAAAACUCAGAGGUGGCAAGCCUGCUUUUUCAUUUGUUUCUUGAAGCCCAGUUUUAGCGCUGCCAAUGUGAGCAUUUUAGUAUUUGAUGGUUUUGCUUUAAUGACAACUGCAGUUUAGAUGAAGACCUACAAAGCCACAUCAUCAUGUUAUAACUGGCCCCAGGGAGAGCUUUUGCUUAAGAUCCCAUCUACAGUCCUUCGAGAAAAUUGAAAGGAGAAGGGGUAAUUACCCUCUGUGUCAGAUAAAAACUGGAAGUAGGAAGAGGCUGUCUUCGUGAAACGUAAGGAUGGAAACCUUGUGAAAUCUGAGCCUGCGGAACUUUAGCUUCUAUUUUUACUCUUAAACGUCAUGGCUAUCAGUAGUGAUUUUUUUCCCACCCCCAAAAAAAUGAACUAUUUCUUCAGCAGAAGGGUAAAGCUGACAGAUGAAGAUGAGGGAGGUUAGAAAACUUCAGUGCAGAGGAAAAAAGUGCUGUAUUAUUACAAAACCCACUUCUAGAUAAGUCAAAGGCUUUAGAAGGCUGAAUUUAGUAUUUCCUCUUCUUGCCAUGAAAGUUGGAAAAGUAAAUGUCAUCAUCAGGCAAAAGCUGUAUUCUUAAGCUAGAACUGUGUGAUAAAAGAUUGAUAUUGUGACACUGUUUCUUGUUUAAGAAUGAUACCUUCAGAUGAAAAAAGGAAUUAAAAACUGGUCAAGGAAUGAUAACUGUUACCCAUGCAGGUAAAAUGUUCAAUGCAAGUAGUACAAGAUGUCUGGGGUAAAGCUAAGACUGAAAGGAUCCUGUUUACCAAGGGUAUCAAGAAAGUACAGAAGUUUUGUGUCAGGCCGGAGCCUUUGCAACUGCGCUACUACAGAACUGAGAAGUGUCUGGAGAACUGCUCACCUUGGUCGGCAUGAAGAGUGGUGAAUGCAAUGCAGUCCUUUUGCCUGCGCCCUCAAGCAGAGGAAAGUGACUCAUAAGGACGCACACAGAGUCAUUUUGAUUUGAAACAGUUCCACCCUCUUUCCAGAGGAAAGAUGGCGCUGUUUUUGCAAGGAAAGGACCUGUAUAAAACAGUGCUUAAAAUAGUACCCACUGAGGUAAAGAUUGUUAACUUUGACUUUCACUGGCAAAUGGCCCUUUCCCCAUGGUGGGGAAAACAGACAAAAUGCCACAUGCAGUGUGCACUGCUGCAGCAGUGAAGCUCAGUUGGUACUCAGGCUGCCCUUGCUACAGAGCAGCUUAGUAUAGCAACUGGGGACCCAUUUAGCAGACAGAUUUGAAUACUGAAAGACAGACAUACUGUGAUUGUCUCCUUUGUCCCACCCUCCAAACAUCGUUUGUCUCAGAUUAUAUAUAUUUUUCAAAACAGAAGAGUUAAUUAAAAAUAAAGCCUUAAAUUCUGAAAAAAAACCCUGCUAA
This 2459-nucleotide long non-coding RNA is filed under the name Apteryx owenii (little spotted kiwi). RNAcentral's name for it is "lncRNA (ENSAOWG00000014777.1)". The record is from RNAcentral. Lineage: Eukaryota; Metazoa; Chordata; Aves; Apterygiformes; Apterygidae.